AAUAAUAAUAAUAAUAAUAAUAAUAAUAAUUAUAAUAAUAAUAAUAAUAAUAAUAAUAAUAAUAAUAAUAAUAAUAAUNNNNNNNNNNAUAAUAAUAAUAAUAAUAAUAAUAAUAAUAAUAAUAAUAAUAAUAAUCUUGGUACUACUACCAAUAACAAUACCAAUCAAAACAAAACACAUGUAGAAGAAAAGGUCAACACACAACUAGGUAUUAAAAUAUCAAAUGUAACAAACUUAAAUAUAUUUUCCUCCAAAUCUGGAUCAACAAACAACACAAAAGAUGAAAAAAUAAACCAAGAAAUUAGAAAUAAAGCAGAAGAUGCGUCAAAAAUAAAAAAAAUAAUCAAAAAUACAAUGAAAUAAUGUAUAUUUUAAAGAUUUUUGCUAAUUGUUUAGCAUGUCAAGAUCUUAAUUAUAAUUCAUUUUCUGUUUUAUAUUUUAUGUAUAAAAAUUUAUUACAAAAUAUUAUGAAAAUAUGUUUUAAUUUUACAUAUGUUGUAAGUACUGAGUUUUUUUUUUUCAAUGACGGUAUAAAUUUAAUGUCAGUCGAAAAUUUAAAAAGAGAGCAGAUACCAAGUACUUUAUUAUUUGAUAGUAUAAGAGCUUUUACAAAUAUUAAAUCUUAUUAUAAAUAUUUUUAUCGUAUGUUAAAAAAGGAACAUGAUGAAAUAAAAGCCGAAACCAAAAAAGAAACCAAAACAGAAACCAAAAAAGAGAUAAAAAAAGAACCCCUUUUGUUGAAAAGCUUGCAUAUGUAUGUGAUACAACAAGAGGAGGUAAAUCGUGAAAAGAGUGACAAGAGUAGUUAUAGUAACAUUAGUGGUAAUGAAACUAGUGACAAUAACAUACUGUGUGGAAGUCAGAAAGAACAAUGGCAGGAAAGAAAACCAUUUGAUAUAUUCCUGGAAAAAGUAGAAAACCUGUUAAUCAAUAAUAAGGAUUUUAAAGAAGUAAAAAAACAUGAUAAACAUUCACUAUUAUUGCUCUCAACUAAACAUAAAAAAAAAAAGUUAUUACUAGGUGAACACGUAUAUAUGAUAAGUAAAUAUAAUAAACUUUUUUAUGACUUAGACGAUAAAUUGUUAGCCAUUUAUAUUUAUAUAAAACAAUGUCAAGUAGAUAAAAACAAAUUAUUGAAAAGAAUAAACAAGAACGCAGUUUUGAAACAAAACGAAUUGACAUGCAAAGAGACAGCGAUAAUUAAAAGUGGCUCAGGUAUUGGUAAGAGUAGGAGCAAGGGUAAAAAAACAGACAAAAAAAAAAUUGACCUGGUUUUUGUCCACGGUUUACGGGGUCAUGCUCUUCGUACAUGGAGAUUUUUAAAUUAUUAUAAUCAUAUGUCAGAUCGUUACUAUUAUCACAAAAAACCUAGUUAUAAAAUUAAAAAGAAAAAGAAAAAAAAGAAUAUGUUACACAUCAAGGCCGAAAAUGAUAUUGAUGAUGAUUUUGUUAACCUAAGUAGCAAUAAAAAUGGUAUUGAAAAUAAAGAUUUGUACCAUGUCGAACGUAAAGAUGUUGAUCAAAAUAACAAAAUUAUAACUCCUAGUAUGGACACUUAUAAUAAUGAUAAUAAUAAUAAAAUUCCAAAUAAGACUCGAUCUAGUAUGAUUUAUGUAAAAAACAAUGAAACAACAAACCAGAAAACAAAUGAUGACCAUUUUUUACUUAAAUUAAGAAAUGAAACGAAAGAAAAACACAAUGAACAACUUUUUAAUAGUAAAAAUCAAACAAGAAAUAUAAAAGAUAAAAAGAAUGUCAUUUUAUUUGACGAAACAAGAAAACAAAUCCGAGCACAUAUAAAAAUAAAAAAUAAUUUUAAUUUUUCAAUAAAAAAAGAGUUGAUAGAUACAUUAUUAUUAAGAUAUAAACGUAAUCAAAAUAUUAUACCUGCGUAUACAUCUAAUAAAGAAUAUAUGAAUAAAAAGUUAUUUAAAUUCUUAUUUUUAAAAAAAGAUAGCUUAAAAAUGGAUAUGGAAUGCUUUAAUGGAGAAUAUUCAUAUCAAAUAUGGCCUUUUUAUUUAUUAUUCCCACGUAAACAAAAUUUAAAUAUUUUUCUUAUUAAUUACCAUUCACCAUUAUACCCUGAAGGAAAUUAUUAUACCAAGAUGAGAUGCAUGAAAGAGAAAAAAAAAAAAAAAAGGAAAGAGGAGGGGGAGAGCCUUAACAGUGCCCUUGUUAGUAGUAGUGGUAGUAUUAGUAGUAGUGGUAGUAGUAGUAGUAGUGGUAUUAGUAGUAGUAGUGGUAAUAAUAAAAAAAACACAGUUAAUGAGUAUAAUCAAAAUCAAAGUACCAACAUUGAUAUUAAUAACAAUGAAACUGACAACAAUGGAAUUGACAACAAUGGAAUUGACAACAAUGGAACUGACAGUAGUGAAACUAACAGUAGUGAAACUAACAGUAGUGCUUUUUUUCACUACCUAAAAUCGUUUAACUUUAUUUUUAAGGCAUUUGAUGAAGUAACAAAAGAAAAAAAAAUGGAACAGGAAAAAAAUUAUUAUUAUACUGAUAGAAUGACGUUAAAUGAAUUAUCUAAAUUUUUAUAUAAGACAUUGAAAAGUGUAAAUAUAGGACUAGCGAAUGACAUAGUAUUUGUAUCUCAUUCAAUGGGAGCUAUAUUAACACAAGAUGUCCUGUCAAAAAAUGAUAAUCUUUUAAAUAAAACGAAAUAUUUUUUUUGUUAUGCAGCUCCACAUUUUGGAUCUACUUUAGCAAUGACAGCAUUCCCUAUUAAAAACUUUUUAUCACCAUAUGUGUCUCAGCUUAAUAAUUAUAACACACAGCUGACAAAUAUACAAUCUAAUUUUAAAGAAAAAAUUAAAAAUAAAAAUAUCAAAAUUUAUUCAUUUGGUGAGACUAAUAAAACGCCCUUGCCAAUAAUAGGUAAAAAAAAAAAAAAGACA
This 2900-nucleotide long non-coding RNA is filed under the name Piliocolobus tephrosceles (Ugandan red Colobus). RNAcentral describes it as "lncRNA (ENSPTEG00000009783.1)". The record is from RNAcentral. Lineage: Eukaryota; Metazoa; Chordata; Mammalia; Primates; Cercopithecidae.